GUUUCCCCACCUCUGGUGGAGGUUCUCUACUUAGCAGGGAAGGAGAGCUAAGAACUGAUGACAUCAAGAAGGUGGAGGUGUUUAAUGCCUAUUUUGUUUCAGUCUUCACUAACAGGAUUGAUGGUGAUCAGAUACUCAA
This is a long non-coding RNA of Chelonia mydas (Green sea turtle), 139 nucleotides long. RefSeq lists it as uncharacterized. NCBI's taxonomy places the organism in Eukaryota, Metazoa, Chordata, Testudines, Cheloniidae. The record is from RefSeq and is a predicted model, not a curated record. The transcript has 3 exons.